RNAcentral lists this long non-coding RNA (251 nucleotides) under Brassica rapa (field mustard). RNAcentral describes it as "long non-coding RNA (BRAP_LNC004627)". The record is from RNAcentral. Lineage: Eukaryota; Viridiplantae; Streptophyta; Magnoliopsida; Brassicales; Brassicaceae.
AACUUUCAAACACUUAUGGCUUACCAUACUUUCCAUCGACCACAUUACACUUAAAAAAUAAACCUCGUCCUUUGACCCUACUGAUCCAAAAAAAUGCCGACUAUGAAGAAGAACCACACCAUUCAAAUCAAGUAAAGAGAGAAACAUUUUGUGACAUAUGUUGUUUGCCGAAUUGAGGAUAGAUGCAUGCGUGUGGCCCUUCACACGAACGGUUUUCUCAACACCAAACUAUAUCACACCAAGCAAAAGAC